RNAcentral lists this ribosomal RNA (418 nucleotides) under uncultured Thermomonosporaceae bacterium. RNAcentral describes it as "bacterial SSU rRNA". It matches the Rfam family "Bacterial small subunit ribosomal RNA", at positions 415 to 844 of the family's 1533-position model. The record is from RNAcentral. Lineage: Bacteria; Bacillati; Actinomycetota; Actinomycetes; Streptosporangiales; Thermomonosporaceae.
CCUUCGGGUUGUAAACCCCUUUCACCAGGGACGAAGCGAAAGUGACGGUACCUGCAGAAGAAGCGCCGGCUAACUACGUGCCAGCAGCCGCGGUAACACGUAGGGCGCAAGCGUUGUCCGGAAUUAUUGGGCGUAAAGAGCUCGUAGGCGGUCUGUUGCGUCCGCUGUGAAAACUUGGGGCUUAACCCCGGGCCUGCAGUGGAUACGGGCAGACUAGAGGUAGGUAGGGGAGAAUGGAAUUCCCGGUGUAGCGGUGAAAUGCGCAGAUAUCGGGAGGAACACCGGUGGCGAAGGCGGUUCUCUGGGCCUUACCUGACGCUGAGGAGCGAAAGCGUGGGGAGCGAACAGGAUUAGAUACCCUGGUAGUCCACGCCGUAAACGUUGGGCGCUAGGUGUGGGAUCCUUCCACGGAUUCCUU